AAAAGGACUUGAAAACUUUGAGUUUUAACGAUAAAGACAAAAUAAAGAGUAAAGUGAAUAGUACAAGGAUUGACUUUUUAGUGUAAAAAUGUGAUUUUUCUUUAAAAUGAAUAGUACAGAGAGCUUUUCGUUAAAGUUCCCUAUUUUUUUAGGACCUUAGAAAUUUAUGAAUUAGUAAUAUGAUGUUUGGAUGUUUCGAAUUGAUUUACAUAGGAUUUUUUACCCUACCGUUGACCAAGUUAAACGAAGGUUGACCUUUGUUUAACAUGCUCUAAACCCUUCUUAAAUGCUUAAGUUAAUAUUACUAGGGCCCUAUAGAGCUAAGUGGGCUUACUUGGGUUAAUGGGUCAUCCUAGGGAAUGUACAUCUCAGUUUGCGUGCAGGUGGCACCUUACCGAGAUUCACAUGUUUAUUGAACUCCUAGGUGAGAUAAAUGAUAUGUGUAUUUUCUCACAAUGUAAAUCAUGUGUCUAGAGGUGGGAUGUAGGAUGCUUGACACGAGUUGCAUGGUAUGUAAUGUGACCACACCAUGUAGCAGUGUGGUACAUUGAAAGUCCUGCCUGGUUAAUCCGUAUUGGGGGAUCUUAAGCAUUUUAGGGGCGACUCCUCUUGGUUAAUCUACAUUGAAUGGUCACUACCUACCUAGUUACAUUAGAUCCAUAGGUGGUCCUACUUCGUUAAUCCGCAUUGAGGGACCACACUAUCAGAUGGGUACCUAUGGUUUCGCUUGGUUUGGGGACCUUGCACGCAAACUGAGAUUCACGUGUUUAUUGAACUCCUAGGUGAGAUA
Molecule: long non-coding RNA, 790 nt
Filed under: Malus domestica (apple)
Lineage: Eukaryota; Viridiplantae; Streptophyta; Magnoliopsida; Rosales; Rosaceae
Description: long non-coding RNA (MDOM_LNC000044)
Source: RNAcentral